Molecule: ribosomal RNA, 468 nt
Filed under: uncultured bacterium
Lineage: Bacteria
Description: partial 16S ribosomal RNA
Rfam family: Bacterial small subunit ribosomal RNA
Source: RNAcentral
GAUGAACGCUGGCGGCGUGCCUAACACAUGCAAGUCGAACGGAAAGGCCCUGCUUUUGCGGGGUGCUCGAGUGGCGAACGGGGGAGUAACACGUGAGUAGCCUGUCCUUGACUUAGGGAUAACUCCAGGGAACUGGGGCUCAUACCGGAUAGGAGCUCCUGCUCCAUGGUGGGGGUUGGAAAGUUUCGGCGGUUGUGGAUGGUCUCGCGGCUUAUCAGCUUGUUGGUGGGGUAGUGGCUUACCAAGGCUUUGACGGGUAGCCGGCCUGAGAGGGUGACCGGCCACAUUGGGACUGAGAUACGGCCCAGACUCCUACGGGAGGCAGCAGUGGGGAAUAUUGCACAAUGGGCGGAAGCCUGAUGCAGCAACGCCGCGUGCGGGAUGACGGCCUUCGGGUGGUAAACCGCUUUCGCCUGUGACGAAGCGUGAGUGACGGUAAUGGGUAAAGAAGCACCGGCUAACUACGUG